CCUACGGGAGGCUGCAGUGGGGAAUAUUGCACAAUGGGGGCAACCCUGAUGCAGCGACGCCGCGUGAGUGAAGAAGUACUUCGUUAUGUAAAGCUCUAUCAGCAGGGAAGAAAAUGACGGUACCUGAGUACGAAGCGCCGGCUAACUACGUGCCAGCAGCCGCGGUCAUACGGAGGGGGCACGCGUUAGCCGGAUUUACUGGGUGUAAAGGGAGCGUAGACGGCAGUGUAAGUCUGGCGUGAAAGGCGCGGGCUUAACCCCCGAACUGCUCUGGAAACUGGACGGCUGGAGUGCAGGAGAGGUAAGUGGAAUUCCUAGUGUAGCGGUGAAAUGCGUAGAGAUGAGGAGGAACACCAGUGGCGAAGGCAGCCUACUGGAAUUGAACUGACGCUGAGGCUCGAAAGCGUGGGGAGCAAACAGGAUUAGAUACCCCAGUAGUC
RNAcentral lists this ribosomal RNA (440 nucleotides) under uncultured bacterium. RNAcentral's name for it is "partial 16S ribosomal RNA". It matches the Rfam family "Bacterial small subunit ribosomal RNA", at positions 338 to 795 of the family's 1533-position model. The record is from RNAcentral.